CCUACGGGUGGCUGCAGUGGGGAAUAUUGCACAAUGGGGGGAACCCUGAUGCAGCGACGCCGCGUGGGUGAGGAAGUACUUCGGUAUGUAAAGCCCUAUCAGCAGGGAAGAAAAUGACGGUACCUGACUAAGAAGCCCCGGCUAACUACGUGCCAGCAGCCGCGGUAAUACGUAGGGGGCAAGCGUUAUCCGGAUUUACUGGGUGUAAAGGGAGCGUAGACGGCGUGCCAAGUCUGGUGUGAAAGGCCGGGGCUCAACCCCGGGACUGCAUUGGAAACUGGCAUGCUGGAGUGCAGGAGAGGUAAGUGGAAUUCCUAGUGUAGCGGUGAAAUGCGUAGAUAUUAGGAGGAACACCAGUGGCGAAGGCGGCUUACUGGACUGUAACUGACGUUGAGGCUCGAAAGCGUGGGGAGCAAACAGGAUUAGAUACCCCUGUAGUC
This 440-nucleotide ribosomal RNA is filed under the name uncultured bacterium. RNAcentral describes it as "partial 16S ribosomal RNA". It matches the Rfam family "Bacterial small subunit ribosomal RNA", at positions 338 to 795 of the family's 1533-position model. The record is from RNAcentral.